UGAGUGGCGGACGGGUGAGUAACGCGUGGGCAACCUGCCCUGUACAGGGGGACAACACUUAGAAAUAGGUGCUAAUACCGCAUAACGGGGGGAGCCGCAUGGCACCCCCCUGAAAACUCCGGUGGUACAGGAUGGGCCCGCGUCUGAUUAGCUGGUUGGCAGGGUAACGGCCUACCAAGGCGACGAUCAGUAGCCGGCUGAGAGGUGGCCGGCCACACUGGGACUGAGACACGGCCCAGACUCCUACGGAAGGCAGCAG
RNAcentral lists this ribosomal RNA (259 nucleotides) under uncultured bacterium. Its description in RNAcentral is "partial 16S ribosomal RNA". It matches the Rfam family "Bacterial small subunit ribosomal RNA", at positions 92 to 354 of the family's 1533-position model. The record is from RNAcentral.